RNAcentral lists this ribosomal RNA (297 nucleotides) under uncultured bacterium. Its description in RNAcentral is "partial 16S ribosomal RNA". It matches the Rfam family "Bacterial small subunit ribosomal RNA", at positions 335 to 631 of the family's 1533-position model. The record is from RNAcentral.
GUCCUACGGGACGCAGCAGUGAGGAAUAUUGGUCAAUGGUCGGGAGACUGAACCAGCCAAGCCGCGUGAGGGAUGAAGGUACCGAGUAUCGUAAACCUCUUUUGUCAGGGAACAAAGGCGGGGACGCGUCCCCGGAUGAGUGUACCUGAAGAAAAAGCAUCGGCUAACUCCGUGCCAGCAGCCGCGGUAAUACGGAGGAUGCGAGCGUUAUCCGGAUUUAUUGGGUUUAAAGGGUGCGCAGGCGGAAUGUCAAGUCAGCGGUAAAAUUUCGGGGCUCAACCCCGUCUGGCCGUUGAA